RNAcentral lists this transfer RNA (541 nucleotides) under uncultured Prochlorococcus sp. Its description in RNAcentral is "partial 16S-23S ribosomal RNA intergenic spacer". The stretch from base 212 to 284 matches the Rfam family "tRNA". The record is from RNAcentral. Lineage: Bacteria; Bacillati; Cyanobacteriota; Cyanophyceae; Synechococcales; Prochlorococcaceae.
CAGGGAGACAACAAAAUGUUUAAUAUUAUUAUUUUGUCACCUUAGGUCGAUCGGUAUCUCGCAUUUUUAAUUUAUUAAAAAUUUCAAUUCCUAAGUUUUUCUAGGUCACACCCAUUAUUUUUCCUGGGCCAUUAGCUCAGGUGGUUAGAGCGCACCCCUGAUAAGGGUGAGGUCCCUGGUUCAAGUCCAGGAUGGCCCAUAUCUCUAUGUUGGGGGUAUAGCUCAGUUGGUAGAGCGCCUGCUUUGCAAGCAGGAUGUCAGCGGUUCGAGUCCGCUUACCUCCACUGAUUACCACCUCUUCCAUAAUCUGUAGAAAAGGAAAAUUUUGAGUUGUGAUCAAAUUCUGAACGAAUCUAGCUUCCUAAUAAAAUCAUUAAGAUGCUGGACUCAUUGAAUUAAUUUCAUUGUUUUCAGAGAACCUUGACAACUGCAUAGAUUAUUUUUAAAGACAAUAAGCAUCUUUAAUGAUGCAGAUUUAUUAUUUGUGCGAAUGCAUUAAUAACAAUUCUAUUAAGCUGAUGCUUCAAUUUUUGAAGUUAUU